UACGAAGGGGGCUAGCGUUGUUCGGAUUUACUGGGCGUAAAGCGCGCGUAGGCGGACAUCUAAGUCAGGGGUGAAAUCCCAAGGCUCAACCUUGGAACUGCCUUUGAUACUGGACGUCUGGAGUUCGGGAGAGGUGAGUGGAAUUCCGAGUGUAGAGGUGAAAUUCGUAGAUAUUCGGAGGAACACCAGAAGCGAAGGCGGCUCACUGGCCCGAUACUGACGCUGAGGCGCGAAAGCGUGGGGAGCAAACAGG
This 253-nucleotide ribosomal RNA is filed under the name uncultured bacterium. RNAcentral's name for it is "partial 16S ribosomal RNA". It matches the Rfam family "Bacterial small subunit ribosomal RNA", at positions 524 to 776 of the family's 1533-position model. The record is from RNAcentral.